ACGAACGCUGGCGGCGUGCUUAACACAUGCAAGUCGAACGGAAAGGCCCUUCGGGGUACUCGAGUGGCGAACGGGUGAGUAACACGUGGGUGAUCUGCCCUGCACUUUGGGAUAAGCCUGGGAAACUGGGUCUAAUACCGAAUAGGACCACGCGCUUCAUGGUGUGUGGUGGAAAGCUUUUGCGGUGUGGGAUGGGCCCGCGGCCUAUCAGCUUGUUGGUGGGGUAAUGGCCUACCAAGGCGACGACGGGUAGCCGGCCUGAGAGGGUGACCGGCCACACUGGGACUGAGAUACGGCCCAGACUCCUACGGGAGGCAGCAGUGGGGAAUAUUGCACAAUGGGCGCAAGCCUGAUGCAGCGACGCCGCGUGAGGGAUGACGGCCUUCGGGUUGUAAACCUCUUUCAAUAGGGACGAAGCGCAAGUGACGGUACCCAUAGAAGAAGCACCGGCCAACUACGUG
This 461-nucleotide ribosomal RNA is filed under the name uncultured bacterium. RNAcentral's name for it is "partial 16S ribosomal RNA". It matches the Rfam family "Bacterial small subunit ribosomal RNA", at positions 29 to 507 of the family's 1533-position model. The record is from RNAcentral.